Molecule: ribosomal RNA, 379 nt
Filed under: uncultured eukaryote
Lineage: Eukaryota
Description: partial 18S ribosomal RNA
Rfam family: Eukaryotic small subunit ribosomal RNA
Source: RNAcentral
CAAUAGCGUAUAUUAAAGUUGUUGCAGUUAAAAAGCUCGUAGUUGGAUUUGUGGCGUAUGGUGUGUUCCGGGCACUUGUUGUCUGAGUAACUUGCCAUUGCCAUCCUUGGGUGGAACCUGUGUGGCAUUAGGUUGUCGUGCAGGGGAUGCCCAUCGUUUACUGUGAAAAAAUUAGAGUGUUCAAAGCAGGCUUAUGCCGUUGAAUAUAUUAGCAUGGAAUAAUAAGAUAGGACUUUUUUGCUAUUUUGUUGGUUUGCGCGAGAAGGUAAUGAUUAAUAGGGAUAGUUGGGGGUAUUCGUAUUCCAUUGUCAGAGGUGAAAUUCUUGGAUUUUUGGAAGACGAACUACUGCGAAAGCAUUUACCAAGGAUGUUUUCAUUA